RNAcentral lists this unclassified non-coding RNA (331 nucleotides) under soil metagenome. Its description in RNAcentral is "partial contains 5.8S ribosomal RNA, internal transcribed spacer 2, and large subunit ribosomal RNA". The stretch from base 1 to 120 matches the Rfam family "5.8S ribosomal RNA", at positions 35 to 154 of the family's 154-position model. The record is from RNAcentral.
GAUGAAGAACGUAGCGAAAUGCGAUAAGUAGUGUGAAUUGCAGAAUUCAGUGAAUCAUCGAAUCUUUGAACGCACAUUGCGCCCGCCAGUAUUCUGGCGGGCAUGCCUGUUCGAGCGUCAUUUCAACCCUCAAGCACAGCUUGGUGUUGGGACUCGCGUUAAUUCGCGUUCCCCAAAUUGAUUGGCGGUCACGUCGAGCUUCCAUAGCGUAGUAGUAAAACCCUCGUUACUGGUAAUCGUCGCGGCCACGCCGUUAAACCCCAACUUCUGAAUGUUGACCUCGGAUCAGGUAGGAAUACCCGCUGAACUUAAGCAUAUCAAUAAGGGAGGA